UACGGAGGGUGCAAGCGUUAAUCGGAAUUACUGGGCGUAAAGCGCACGCAGGUGGCUGAGUCAGUCGAUUGUGAAAGCCCUGGGCUUAACCUGGGAAUUGCAGUCGAUACUACUCAGCUAGAGUAUGGGAGAGGGUAGUGGAAUUCCCGGUGUAGCGGUGAAAUGCGUAGAUAUCGGGAGGAACAUCCGUGGCGAAGGCGGCCACCUGGACCAACAUUGACGCUGAGGCACGAAAGCGUGGGGAGCAAACAGG
This 253-nucleotide ribosomal RNA is filed under the name uncultured bacterium. RNAcentral's name for it is "partial 16S ribosomal RNA". It matches the Rfam family "Bacterial small subunit ribosomal RNA", at positions 524 to 776 of the family's 1533-position model. The record is from RNAcentral.